RNAcentral lists this ribosomal RNA (381 nucleotides) under uncultured archaeon. RNAcentral's name for it is "bacterial SSU rRNA". It matches the Rfam family "Archaeal small subunit ribosomal RNA", at positions 471 to 851 of the family's 1478-position model. The record is from RNAcentral.
UAACCCCAGCGCCACAAGUGGGAACCACGAUUAUUGGGUCUAAAGCAUCCGUAGCCGGUUUGGCAAAUGCCCUGUGAAAUCGUUCUGCCUAACAGAACGGCGUGCGGGGUAGACUACCGAACUUGGGACCAGGAGAGGGAGGCGGUAUUCCUGAGGGAGCGGUAAAAUGUUAUAAUCUCAGGAGGACCACCAAUGGCGAAGGCAGCCUUCUAGAAUGGAUCCGACGGUGAGGGAUGAAAGCUAGGGGAGCGAUCCGGAUUAGAUACCCGAGUAGUCCUAGCUGUAAACGCUGCAUGCCAGAUGUUGCACAAUCUUCGAGAUUGUGCAGUGUCGAAACGAAGGUGUUAAGCAUGCCACCUGGGAAGUACGGUCGCAAGGCUG